AAAUGCACACGGAGGGCGGAGGGCGGCGGCGGCGGGUGCGAGUCGCGGGCUCUCGCCUUUCCCCUCCUUGGCGGGUGGAGGAGGCCGCGUGGACAGCAGAAGAUUCAGUCUCAGCAGAAAAAUGCCAAAAAGCAAGCUGGACAAAAGAAGAAACAAGGACAUGACCAGAAGGCUGCUGCCAAAGCUGCCUUAAUAUAUACCUGCACUGUCUGUAGGACACAAAUGCCAGACCCUAAGACCUUCAAGCAGCACUUUGAGAGCAAGCAUCCUAAGACUCCACUUCCUCCAGAAUUAGCUGAUGUUCAGGCAUAAAGUUGUUUACAGGUGAAUACGUGACACCUUUGAUUCUUCUACUGUCUCAGACCUUAGGUAACAAACCUGCAGCUGCUUUUCUAACAAACUGUUAUCAGCAAAAUAAAGGGGCUACAGGAAA
RNA transcript from Capra hircus (goat), 433 nucleotides. It is a transcript of the gene named zinc finger protein 706 pseudogene, with no coding region annotated. Lineage: Eukaryota; Metazoa; Chordata; Mammalia; Artiodactyla; Bovidae. The record is from RefSeq and is a predicted model, not a curated record. The transcript has a single exon.